GGGGAGCCCAGUUUGCACCUAGAUUUAAUAUUUUACCAUUUUACACCUAGAUUUAGCUUAAAUUUUUCCAUUAAUUCAUUCAACAAAAUGUACUGUGCUCCUGCUUUGUGACUGCAAAAGGGCCUGUCAUAAUCUCUGUCUCACUGAUAGCCCAGUCCCCUCCCUGGGCCCCCAGCCACCCAUGCAGGGCUGAUGACUGGUGGUGAGAGAAAGCCUCUCUCAGCAGGUGACCUAAAAGGAAAGAGGAAGGAGCCAGCCAUGAUGAUGUGGGGGAAGAGCAGAGGGAACGGCAAGCUCAAAGGCCCUGAGGUCACUCCAGCUGCUAUGUGGAAAAUCAAUUCCAGGGAAACGGAAGCAAGGAAACCGAUUACAUCACGUUCACCACCCGAAUAGUGACUUUUCUUCUGUGGAAGGAGUUCAGGGAACUUACGCCAGUUAAAAAGCAUUUAAUUACUGUUGUCUAACUUCUGUUGCCUCAAAUUCUCUCAGGAAACUUCUUAAAUAGACGGAGUUCCCAAUCUCACACCCCCGAGAUUCUCAUUCUACCAAGCUGAGGAAUCUGCAUUUUGAGAAUCUCCAUUAAUUUCAGCAGACUUCUACUGAGAGCCUACCAGAUGCCAGGCGCUGUGCCACCAGCUGGAGGUGCAAAGAUAGAAGACGCUGCCACUGGCCUCAGUGUUCUGGUGUUGUAGGAGACUGGGCGUGUGGAGAAAUAGGCUACGUUAUGAUGCACUCAGUAAUGGGAGUUUGUAUGAAUUACCUUCUGAGCAAAGAAGCAAAGGCUGUUCAUUGUUCAGACGUUGUCAUGCUUUUCAUCCGUCACGCAACCCUGUUACUUGGCCAAAACUGAACUGACCAGAAGUCUGUAACUUGGCCGAAGGCAACUGUUUUUAGGCUUAACAACGGCUCUGGGGAGUCCUACACUCAUAAUUCUGCCCAACAGAGGAGAUGGCUCCCUGCCCCAGCUGAUGAUCUCUCACAGGCAGUUUCCAGUGUCAGAGACUCGGAAAGCAGAGUAGGACUGGGAUGAGAUAGAGGUGGAGGUGACAGAUGAACUGGUAAGAAGCAGAGGCAGAGAGAGAGAAAGAGAGAGGCUGAGUGGGGAGUAGGGCGAAGUCACAGGGGGAAGAAGCCAAAGGUCCAUUAGGACUCCAUGGAACUGGCCUAUGUAACCCUUAGACUGAUGCCUGAAUGUCCUUCCAGUCACCCACAUCACCUGAGGUCAGCCAAGACUGUCAUCCUGGCAGCAGAAAGAAUCUAAGUCCUGCAGUCCUGAAGUGGUCCGGGGGGAGUGAGGAAGAGAUGCCAGAAGGGGGGGCUCAGCAAAGGCUUCACCAGUAGGUGACGCCCAAGCAGAGUUUUGAGCCAGGAACUGCCAUGAUCCCAGCAUGGAAUCACACUCAAAGAAACAUGGAAUUUUCCUCUUCAUGGUUUUGCAGGUCUAAUUUUUGGCAAGAAGAUCUGAUUCUUUCGUCGAUUUUUGAAGUCAAUAACAAGUUUUGCUGUGUGCAGGUUUGCCUUUGUCAGUUUUCUUUUUGUUAUUUCUACAAAGUGCAAUUUCAACUGGGUCAAUUUUUGUAGUUUUGAGAAUUACCAACACACUGAGAUUCUUCAAUCUGUUUUUUGUCAAUAUCAAAUUUAACAUUUAUAGUUUGG
This 1656-nucleotide long non-coding RNA is filed under the name Equus caballus (horse). RNAcentral describes it as "lncRNA (ENSECAG00000054392.1)". The record is from RNAcentral. Lineage: Eukaryota; Metazoa; Chordata; Mammalia; Perissodactyla; Equidae.